This 253-nucleotide ribosomal RNA is filed under the name uncultured bacterium. RNAcentral describes it as "partial 16S ribosomal RNA". It matches the Rfam family "Bacterial small subunit ribosomal RNA", at positions 524 to 776 of the family's 1533-position model. The record is from RNAcentral.
GACGUAGGGCGCGAGCGUUGUCCGGAUUUAUUGGGCGUAAAGAGCUCGUAGGCGGCUUGUCGCGUCGUCCGUGAAAACCCGCAGCUCAACUGUGGGCUUGCGGUCGAUACGGGCAGGCUAGAGUUCGGUAGGGGAGACUGGAAUUCCUGGUGUAGCGGUGAAAUGCGCAGAUAUCAGGAGGAACACCGGUGGCGAAGGCGGGUCUCUGGGCCGAAACUGACGCUGAGGAGCGAAAGCGUGGGGAGCAAACAGG